GAAUCCACUCGUCUUCUAGUUGAGGAGUGGAGCCAGACAGCAAGCCAGUUCAGAGCUGAUCACAGCAAAAUGGAGUGGACUUUCCAUAGGUUCCCUGCAUGCCUAGGGGAACUGGACAGCCGGUACGUGAAGCCGCUGGUGGUGGCACUCGGCCCUUACCACCACGGCGACACCAAGCUCCAGGAGAUGGAGAAUUUGAAGCGCGUGGCCGCCGACCGUUUCGUGCGCGCGUCCGGCAGCGAGCUCGACCUCGAGGAGAUCUUCCAGGCAGUCUCCGCCGUUGCCGGCGUGGCCCGCGGUCUCUACAUCGGUGACGAGGUGGCAGGUAUGAGCGCUGAUGAGUUCGCGAACAUGAUGCUCUAUGACGCUUGUUUCUUGCUACAGUACAUACGAGUGAUGGAUUCCGAUCCAAGGGAUCCCGCAGAUGCCUCCUUGGAGCGUCUAUUCGUCUCCAACCGAGUAUGCAUCGAGAAUGACAUCAUGCUGCUGGAGAACCAGAUUCCAUGGUCCGUAGUGCAAGCACUCAACAGCCUCGGCCGAUCUCCGGCGCCGGUCGACAAGUUCAUCUCUACUAUGGGAAGCACCUUCAAGAUCCGUGGGCAUCGGGAGAGCGCUCAACCAUUUCGGCCCUACACUAGUGAUCGCAACCCGCCACAUCUCCUUGCACUCUUCCGGUUGGAAAAAGUCGGGUACACGAGAACCCAAGGAGUGCCUCCAUCCUCGUCGAUGGCGAUCACCGCAAGUGCCACCGAGCUCGCCGAGAUGGCCAUCAACAUCCAGCCCUGCAUGACGUCAGACUUCAUGGACAUGGGCAUCUUUAUAGGAAAGCUCUUCACCCACCUCUACCUGGCGCCCCUCUGCCUCGACGAAACCAGGGCAUGCUGGCUCGUCAACAUGGCCGCUCUGGAGGUCUGCACAGCCUCCAACGACAGGGACGACGACAUAAUGAAGAGGGAGACGGCCGUGUGCUCCUACCUCGCCCUCCUGGCGAUGCUCAUGAACCGGGAGGAGGACGUGCACGAGCUGCGUAACAAGCAGGUAGUGCAAGCAAAGCUCACCGACAAGGAGACGCUAGACUUCUUCAAGGGCGUUGUGAAGCGCCUCGACGGCGGCCGCCUCUACAGCGGCAUCAUGGCGGAGAUUGACCACUACAAGUGGAAGAGGAGCAGGAGGAUCAAGGUCUACAAAUUCAUCAAAAAGAACAAACGAAGUAUCAUCGCCGUACUGUCAAUCAUUGCCGUUCUUAUUGGAAUCUUCAAGACGCUGCUCUCUCUAAAGACACGCCAGUAG
RNAcentral lists this ribosomal RNA (1290 nucleotides) under Triticum aestivum (bread wheat). RNAcentral describes it as "partial small subunit ribosomal RNA". The record is from RNAcentral. Lineage: Eukaryota; Viridiplantae; Streptophyta; Magnoliopsida; Poales; Poaceae.